GCUAUUGGAACAAACUGACACUACAGCCAUCUGUUGCAAAACCCUCAAAACUAAAUCACACUCCUAAUAAAAUACUUGUACAGGCAUUAUACAUCCACGAUCAUGCAAAUUUACUUAAUAAAGAGUGAUAUGUUUGAAAAUAAUCUCGAUAAUUCAUGAGAGCAUGAGAAAAGCUGAAAUUCAAAACUCGAUCUAUUUCAGUUUGUAGUUCAGUUCAAGGAUUAAGAGUAAAAUGCUACGACAACAGCAGGAUUAUUGCAUACUGGAUUUAUUUAAUAGCACGGUCGAGAAAAUCUCGCUUUGCUGAAAGAGAAAUCAAAUUGUGGAUUUAUGCUACUUGCGUACUACGAGACUCGCCGUUAAGAUUCGCUAUGCGCAUCGGGCUAAUUAACACCCGCAUCGAAACGGUGGCGUUAAUGCCUGGACAUAUACGGAAACUGUUAAGAAAUCAGAUGAUAAGUGGGAAAUUUGAGCAAGUUUUCCUCAGUUUAUAGAUCGGGUGCACUCGGCAAAAAAAAAGAACCGAUGUUUGACAAAAGAAAAAAGAAAAGAAUUGAAUGAUGCCUCGGCCCGAGAAACGCAGAUUUUGUUCGACCUCCAUACGAGAAAGGCUUGCUCGUGAUUCCCUCCGCGACGUUACGUUUAAGAGUACGCGAUACGAUCAUUUGAGACCACAUUAAAGCUCUUG
Molecule: long non-coding RNA, 688 nt
Organism: Ooceraea biroi (clonal raider ant)
Lineage: Eukaryota; Metazoa; Arthropoda; Insecta; Hymenoptera; Formicidae
Source: RefSeq, a predicted model, not a curated record